AUCCUCCAAGGCUAAAUACUCCUGACUGACCGAUAGUGAACCAGUACCGUGAGGGAAAGGCGAAAAGAACCCCGGCGAGGGGAGUGAAAAAGAACCUGAAACCGUGUACGUACAAGCAGUGGGAGCACGCUUAGGCGUGUGACUGCGUACCUUUUGUAUAAUGGGUCAGCGACUUAUAUUCUGUAGCAAGGUUAACCGAAUAGGGGAGCCGAAGGGAAACCGAGUCUUAACUGGGCGUUAAGUUGCAGGGUAUAGACCCGAAACCCGGUGAUCUAGCCAUGGGCAGGUUGAAGGUUGGGUAACACUAACUGGAGGACCGAACCGACUAAUGUUGAAAAAUUAGCGGAUGACUUGUGGCUGGGGGUGAAAGGCCAAUCAAACCGGGAGAUAGCUGGUUCUCCCCGAAAGCUAUUUAGGUAGCGCCUCGUGAAUUCAUCUCCGGGGGUAGAGCACUGUUUCGGCAAGGGGGUCAUCCCGACUUACCAACCCGAUGCAAACUGCGAAUACCGGAGAAUGUUAUCACGGGAGACACACGGCGGGUGCUAACGUCCGUCGUGAAGAGGGAAACAACCCAGACCGCCAGCUAAGGUCCCAAAGUCAUGGUUAAGUGGGAAACGAUGUGGGAAGGCCCAGACAGCCAGGAUGUUGGCUUAGAAGCAGCCAUCAUUUAAAGAAAGCGUAAUAGCUCACUGGUCGAGUCGGCCUGCGCGGAAGAUGUAACGGGGCUAAACCAUGCACCGAAGCUGCGGCAGCGACGCUUAUGCGUUGUUGGGUAGGGGAGCGUUCUGUAAGCCUGCGAAGGUGUGCUGUGAGGCAUGCUGGAGGUAUCAGAAGUGCGAAUGCUGACAUAAGUAACGAUAAAGCGGGUGAAAAGCCCGCUCGCCGGAAGACCAAGGGUUCCUGUCCAACGUUAAUCGGGGCAGGGUGAGUCGACCCCUAAGGCGAGGCCGAAAGGCGUAGUCGAUGGGAAACAGGUUAAUAUUCCUGUACUUGGUGUUACUGCGAAGGGGGGACGGAGAAGGCUAUGUUGGCCGGGCGACGGUUGUCCCGGUUUAAGCGUGUAGGCUGGU
RNAcentral lists this ribosomal RNA (1070 nucleotides) under Escherichia coli. Its description in RNAcentral is "partial 23S ribosomal RNA". It matches the Rfam family "Bacterial large subunit ribosomal RNA", at positions 455 to 1529 of the family's 2925-position model. The record is from RNAcentral. Lineage: Bacteria; Pseudomonadati; Pseudomonadota; Gammaproteobacteria; Enterobacterales; Enterobacteriaceae.